GCUUGCUUCAGCCGCACAUAUACUAAAACUGGAAUGAUACCGAGGUCAGCAUGGCCCCUAGGCAAGGAUGACAUGCAGAUUUGUGAAGCAUAAAACAUAAAA
Small nuclear RNA from Callithrix jacchus (white-tufted-ear marmoset), 102 nucleotides. The record is from Ensembl. NCBI's taxonomy places the organism in Eukaryota, Metazoa, Chordata, Mammalia, Primates, Cebidae.